UACGUAGGGUGCGAGCGUUGUCCGGAAUUAUUGGGCGUAAAGAGCUUGUAGGCGGUUUGUCGCGCCUGCUGUGAAAAUCCGGGGCUCAACCCCGGACUUGCAGUGGGUACGGGCAGACUAGAGUGUGGUAGGGGAGACUGGAAUUCCUGGUGUAGCGGUGAAAUGCGCAGAUAUCAGGAGGAACACCGGUGGCGAAGGCGGGUCUCUGGGCAGUAACUGACGCUGAGGAGCGAAAGCAUGGGGAGCGAACAGGAUUAGAUACCCCGGUAGU
This 271-nucleotide ribosomal RNA is filed under the name uncultured prokaryote. RNAcentral's name for it is "partial 16S ribosomal RNA". It matches the Rfam family "Bacterial small subunit ribosomal RNA", at positions 524 to 794 of the family's 1533-position model. The record is from RNAcentral.